This 402-nucleotide ribosomal RNA is filed under the name uncultured bacterium. RNAcentral's name for it is "bacterial SSU rRNA". It matches the Rfam family "Bacterial small subunit ribosomal RNA", at positions 356 to 773 of the family's 1533-position model. The record is from RNAcentral.
GGGGAAUAUUGGGCAAUGGGCGAAAGCCUGACCCAGCAACGCCGCGUGAAGGAAGAAGGUCUUCGGAUUGUAAACUUCUUUGAUCAGGGACGAAGAAAUGACGGUACCUGAAGAACAAGCCACGGCUAACUACGUGCCAGCAGCCGCGGUAAUACGUAGGUGGCAAGCGUUAUCCGGAUUUACUGGGUGUAAAGGGCGUGUAGGCGGCUCCGCAAGUCAGAUGUGAAAUUCCCAGGCUUAACCUGGGCGCUGCAUCUGAAACUGCGGAACUUGAGUACUGGAGAGGAUAGUGGAAUUCCUAGUGUAGCGGUAAAAUGCGUAGAUAUUAGGAGGAACACCGGUGGCGAAGGCGACUAUCUGGACAGUAACUGACGCUGAGGCGCGAAAGCGUGGGGAGCAAAC